AGCUGUUUCUAAUAAGUCCUCUGCUUUGCCAUCCCCAAAGAAUUAUGCAUGAAUCUCUUUCUCUUUUUCUUAAAGGUUCUCAAGCUGGCCACAUGUAUAGCCAUAGCUUGCCCUCCUGGACAUAGCAGUAUACCAAGCUUUUCAGCCAUCACUUUAGAAAUGACUCAGAAGAGUGGCAGUGGCCACAAUUAGCUAAGCAGUGACCUGAUUAGUGCUGGAUCAACAUGUUACCAACUCAAGGUUGUCACUACAACGUGAGUGUGGUGAAGUCUGCCUGUUCCAACUAAAAUGAAAGCAGUCUCUUGACGAAGAGCAGUGCUGAAGUCACCAGUUUCUGCAAAGGGGUCCUAAAUGCAGGUUGAAGGAUCUCUUCUGUGUAUAUAUGUAACUACCAGUGCCAAUCUCUAAUUCUUUAUAAUCAAG
Long non-coding RNA from Poecile atricapillus (Black-capped chickadee), 423 nucleotides. RefSeq lists it as uncharacterized. NCBI's taxonomy places the organism in Eukaryota, Metazoa, Chordata, Aves, Passeriformes, Paridae. The transcript has 3 exons. The record is from RefSeq and is a predicted model, not a curated record.